This 253-nucleotide ribosomal RNA is filed under the name uncultured bacterium. RNAcentral describes it as "partial 16S ribosomal RNA". It matches the Rfam family "Bacterial small subunit ribosomal RNA", at positions 524 to 776 of the family's 1533-position model. The record is from RNAcentral.
UACGGAGGGGGCUAGCGUUGUUCGGAAUUACUGGGCGUAAAGCGCACGUAGGCGGCUUUGCAAGUUAGAGGUGAAAGCCCGGGGCUCAACUCCGGAAUUGCCUUUAAAACUACAUCGCUAGAGUUGUGGAGAGGUAAGUGGAAUUCCGAGUGUAGAGGUGAAAUUCGUAGAUAUUCGGAAGAACACCAGUGGCGAAGGCGACUUACUGGACACAUACUGACGCUGAGGUGCGAAAGCGUGGGGAGCAAACAGG